This 497-nucleotide ribosomal RNA is filed under the name uncultured bacterium. RNAcentral's name for it is "partial 16S ribosomal RNA". It matches the Rfam family "Bacterial small subunit ribosomal RNA", at positions 28 to 507 of the family's 1533-position model. The record is from RNAcentral.
GAUGAACGCUGGCGGCGUGCCUAAUACAUGCAAGUCGAGCGAACAGAUAAGGAGCUUGCUCCUUUGACGUUAGCGGCGGACGGGUGAGUAACACGUGGGUAACCUACCUAUAAGACUGGGAUAACUUCGGGAAACCGGAGCUAAUACCGGAUAAUAUUUCGAACCGCAUGGUUCGAUAGUGAAAGAUGGUUUUGCUAUCACUUAUAGAUGGACCCGCGCCGUAUUAGCUAGUUGGUAAGGUAACGGCUUACCAAGGCGACGAUACGUAGCCGACCUGAGAGGGUGAUCGGCCACACUGGAACUGAGACACGGUCCAGACUCCUACGGGAGGCAGCAGUAGGGAAUCUUCCGCAAUGGGCGAAAGCCUGACGGAGCAACGCCGCGUGAGUGAUGAAGGUCUUCGGAACGUAAAACUCUGUUAUUAGGGAAGAACAUACGUGUAAGUAACUGUGCACGUCUUGACGGUACCUAAUCAGAAAGCCACGGCUAACUACGUG